ACGUAGGUGGCGAGCGUUAUCCGGAAUGAUUGGGCGUAAAGGGUGCGUAGGCGGUACGAUAAGUCUGUAGUAAAAGGCGGCAGCUCAACUGUCGUAGGCUAUGGAAACUGUCGAACUAGAGUGCAGAAGAGGGCGAUGGAACUCCAUGUGUAGCGGUAAAAUGCGUAGAUAUAUGGAAGAACACCAGUGGCGAAGGCGGUCGCCUGGUCUGUAACUGACGCUGAAGCACGAAAGCGUGGGGAGCAAAUAG
This 250-nucleotide ribosomal RNA is filed under the name uncultured bacterium. RNAcentral describes it as "partial 16S ribosomal RNA". It matches the Rfam family "Bacterial small subunit ribosomal RNA", at positions 525 to 775 of the family's 1533-position model. The record is from RNAcentral.